UACGUAGGGUGCAAGCGUUAAUCGGAAUUACUGGGCGUAAAGCGUGCGCAGGCGGUUUUGUAAGUCUGAUGUGAAAUCCCCGGGCUCAACCUGGGAAUAGCGUUGGAGACUGCAAGGCUAGAAUCUGGCAGAGGGGGGUAGAAUUCCACGUGUAGCAGUGAAAUGCGUAGAGAUGUGGAGGAACACCGAUGGCGAAGGCAGCCCCCUGGGUCAAGAUUGACGCUCAUGCACGAAAGCGUGGGGAGCAAACAGG
This 253-nucleotide ribosomal RNA is filed under the name uncultured bacterium. RNAcentral's name for it is "partial 16S ribosomal RNA". It matches the Rfam family "Bacterial small subunit ribosomal RNA", at positions 524 to 776 of the family's 1533-position model. The record is from RNAcentral.